GAUACCCGUAGUAAUUCUAGAGCUAAUACAUGCUUAAAAACCCAACUGCUUGUCGGACGGGUUGCAUUUAUUAGAUUGAAACCAAUGCAGCUUUGCUGGUAUUGAGUUGAGUCAUAAUAACUAUGCGGAUCGCAUAUUUCAUGCGAUAGAUCAAAUGAGUUUCUGCCCUAUCAGCUUUGGAUGGUAGGAUAUGGGCCUACCAUGGCAUUAACGGGUAACGGGGAAUUAGGGUUUGAUUCCGGAGAGGGAGCCUUAGAAACGGCUACCACAUCCAAGGAAGGCAGCAGGCGCGUAAAUUACCCAAUCCUGAUACAGGGAGGUAGUGACAAUAAAUAACAAUGCCGGGCUUUUUUAAGUCUGGCAAUUGGAAUGAGAACAAUUUAAAUCCCUUAACGAGGAUCAAUUGGAGGGCAAGUCUGGUGCCAGCAGCCGCGGUAAUUCCAGCUCCAAUAGCGUAUAUUAAAGUUGUUGCAGUUAAAAAGCUCGUAGUUGGAUUUCUGACAUGACUGUCUUGUCCUUUUCAUGUAUUUGAAAAGCGUACGUGGACUGUUGGGUCAUUCUUUGUGAGGAUGUUUUGCUGUCAUUAAGUUGAUGGUGGAAUGGACUUGCAUCGUUUACUGUGAAAAAAUUAGAGUGUUUAAAGCAGGCGUUUGCCUCAUCUUGAAUACAUUAGCAUGGAAUAAUAAAAUAUGACUUUGGUGGUCUAUUUUGUUGGUUUGCACACCAGAGUAAUGAUUAAUAGGGACAGUUGGGGGUAUUCAUAUUUUAGCGUCAGAGGUGAAAUUCUUGGAUCGCUGAAGAUGAGCUUANCGANGCAUUUACCAAGGAUGUUUUCAUUANCANAACGAAGUUAGGGGAUCGANAUGAUUAGAUACCAUCGUAGUCUACCAUAAANUAUGCC
Molecule: ribosomal RNA, 901 nt
Filed under: uncultured eukaryote
Lineage: Eukaryota
Description: bacterial SSU rRNA
Rfam family: Eukaryotic small subunit ribosomal RNA
Source: RNAcentral